UACGUAGGCAGCAAGCGUUGUUCGGAGUUACUGGGCGUAAAGGGUGUGUAGGCGGUUGUUUAAGUUUGGUGUGAAAUCUCCCGGCUCAACCGGGAGGGUGCGCCGAAUACUGAGUGACUAGAGUGCGGGAGAGGAAAGUGGAAUUCCUGGGUGUAGCGGUGAAAUGCGUAGAUAUCAGGAGGAACACCGGUGGUGUAGACGGCUUUCUGGACCGUAACUGACGCUGAGACACGAAAGCGUGGGUAGCAAACAGG
Molecule: ribosomal RNA, 254 nt
Filed under: uncultured bacterium
Lineage: Bacteria
Description: partial 16S ribosomal RNA
Rfam family: Bacterial small subunit ribosomal RNA
Source: RNAcentral